RNAcentral lists this ribosomal RNA (433 nucleotides) under uncultured bacterium. RNAcentral's name for it is "partial 16S ribosomal RNA". It matches the Rfam family "Bacterial small subunit ribosomal RNA", at positions 30 to 507 of the family's 1533-position model. The record is from RNAcentral.
UGACCGCUGGCGGUCUGCUUAACACAUGCAAGUCGAACGGACUCUUCGGAGUUAGUGGCGGACGGGUGAGUAACGCGUGAGAAUCUGGCUUUGGGUUCGGGACAACCACUGGAAACGGUGGCUAAUACCGGAUGUGCCGAGAGGUAAAAGAGAAAUUGCCUGAAGAUGAGCUCGCGUCUGAUUAGCUAGUUGGUGAGGUAAAGGCUCACCAAGGCAGCGAUCAGUAGCUGGUCUGAGAGGAUGACCAGCCACACUGGGACUGAGACACGGCCCAGACUCCUACGGGAGGCAGCAGUGGGGAAUUUUCCGCAAUGGGCGAAAGCCUGACGGAGCAAUACCGCGUGAGGGAAGAAGGCUCUUGGGUUGUAAACCUCUUUUCUUAGGGAAGAACAAAAUGACGGUACCUAAGGAAUCAGCAUCGGCUAACUCCGUG